UACGAACCGUCCAAACGUUAUUCGGAUUCAUUGGGCUUAAAGGGUGCGUAGGCGGCGCUGUCAGUCGGGUGUGAAAGCCCUCGGCUCAACCGAGGAAUUGCGCCCGAUACUGCAGUGCUCGAGGGAGACAGAGGUUAGCGGAACUGAUGGUGGAGCGGUGAAAUGCGUUGAUAUCAUCAGGAACACCAGUGGCGAAAGCGGCUAACUGGGUCUCUUCUGACGCUGAGGUACGAAAGCUAGGGGAGCGAACGGG
RNAcentral lists this ribosomal RNA (253 nucleotides) under uncultured bacterium. Its description in RNAcentral is "partial 16S ribosomal RNA". It matches the Rfam family "Bacterial small subunit ribosomal RNA", at positions 524 to 776 of the family's 1533-position model. The record is from RNAcentral.